This 406-nucleotide ribosomal RNA is filed under the name uncultured bacterium. RNAcentral's name for it is "partial 16S ribosomal RNA". It matches the Rfam family "Bacterial small subunit ribosomal RNA", at positions 30 to 526 of the family's 1533-position model. The record is from RNAcentral.
AUUGAACGCUGGCGGCAGGCCUAACACAUGCAAGUCGAACGAGUGGCGGACGGGUGAGUAAUGUCUGGGAAACUGCCCGAUGGAGGGGGAUAACUACUGGAAACUGUAGCUAAUACCGCAUACCAUCAGAUGUGCCCAGAUGGGAUUAGCGUGUUGGUGGGGUAACGGCGCACCAAGGCGACGAUCCCUAGCUGGUCUGAGAGGAUGACCAGGCACCCUGGAACUGAGACACGGGCCAGACUCCUACGGGAGGCAGCAGUGGGGAAUAUUGGACAAUGGGCGAAAGCCUGAUGCAGCCAUGCCGCGUGUAUGAAGAAGGCCUUCGGGUUGUAAAGUACUUUCAGCGGGGAGGCGUUACCCGCAGAAGAAGCACCGGCUAACUCCGUGCCAGCAGCCGCGGUAAUUC